Molecule: ribosomal RNA, 1692 nt
Filed under: Sillaginopsis panijus (flathead sillago)
Lineage: Eukaryota; Metazoa; Chordata; Actinopteri; Sillaginidae
Description: 16S ribosomal RNA
Rfam family: Bacterial large subunit ribosomal RNA
Source: RNAcentral
CGCCGACCAGCUAGCCCACAACUACCAACAACCAAACAAUAUUAAUUAACCUUUAAGCCACUUGAAAUCAAGAAAAAUAAACCAUUUUUCCCCCCUAGUAUGGGAGACAGAAAAGGGAACAGGAGCCAUAGAGUAAGUACCGCAAGGGAAAGCUGAAAGAGAAGUGAAAUAACCCAGUAAAGCACUGAAAAGCAGAGCUUAUCCCUCGUACCUUUUGCAUCAUGAUUUAGCCAGUAAACAUUAAGCAAAGAGCCCUUUAGUUUAAGACCCCGAAACUAGACGAGCUACCCCGAGACAGCCUAACAAACAGGGCUAACCCAUCUCUGUGGCAAAAGACUGGGAAGAUCCCCGGGUAGAGGUGAUAGACCUAUCGAGCCUAGUUAUAGCUGGUUGCCUGGAAAUUGAAUAAAAGUUCAGCCUCUUGGCUUCUCCUCUCCUGAACCCGUGCCCUAGCAUGAUAGACAGACAUUAGAGAAACCGUGAGAGUUAGUUGAAGGAGGAACAGCUCCUUUAACAAGGGACACAACUCUAGCAGUUGGAUAAAGAUCAUAGUUCCUUAAGGUCAUAUGUCCUGGUGGGCUUAAGAGCAGCCAUCCGCAAAAAAAGCGUUAAAGCUUAAACACGUACACCUCCAAGAAUAAUGAUAUUUUUUUCUUAAUCCACUAAACCCUACCAGGCUACCCCAUGCCCCCAUGGGAGCAAUUAUGCUAGAAUGAGUAAUAAGAGAGCUAGACUCUCUCCUGGCACAUGUGUAAGUCGGAGCGGACCCCCCACCGAACAUUAACGGCCCCAAAUAAAGAGUGGAUUGAACGUUUAUCAAUACCCCUAGAAAAGAAAUCAUUUUGUACCGUUAACCCCACACUGGAGCGCCUAAGGGAAAGACUAAAAGAGAGAGAAGGAACUCGGCAAAUGCAUAAGCCUCGCCUGUUUACCAAAAACAUCGCCUUUUGCAAAAUUCAUGAAUAAGAGGUCAAGCCUGCCCACUGACAUAUGUUCAACGGCCGCGGUAUUUUAACCGUGCGAAGGUAGCGUAAUCAUUUGUCCUUUAAAUGGGGACCAGUAUGAAUGGCUUCACGAGGGCUUAACUGUCUCCUUUCUCUAGUCAAUGAAAUUGAUCUCCCCGUGCAGAAGCGGGGAUACAAACAUAAGACGAGAAGACCCUGUGGAGCUUUAGACACGAAGGAGCAUCAUGUAAAGAACCAUCAGAUAAAAAAUUCAACUUAUGAUUAUCUGCCUGAAUGUCUUAGGUUGGGGUGACCAUGGGGGAACACGAAGCCCCCACGAGGAAAGGGAGAACGACUUCCACAAUCAAGAGCCUGCCCUCUAACGACCAGAACUUCUGACCUUUAAGAUCCAGCAAAGCUGAUCAACGAACCAAGUUACCCCAGGGAUAACAGCGCAAUCCUCUUCUAGAGCCCAUAUCGACGAGGGGGUUUACGACCUCGAUGUUGGAUCAGGACAUCCUAAUGGCGCAGCCACUAUUAAGGGUUCGUUUGUUCAACGAUUAAAGUCCUACGUGAUCUGAGUUCAGACCGGAGCAAUCCAGGUCGGUUUCUAUCUAUGACCUAUCCUUUCCUAGUACGAAAGGACCGGGAAGGAGGGGCCCAUGUUCAAAACACACCCCACCUCUAACCGAUGACCCCCACUAAACCGGGAAGGAGGCAUAUAACCCAAGCCUGAGAUAAAGGCCAG